UUAAUAUUUAUGGUGGUGUCACAAAAUCGGAGGCCCCGACUGUUUACUAAAAACACAAUUCAGAGCAAUGAUGUAAAUCAUAGUAUUCUGGAUGAAAUUUGCCCGAUGCCAUUAACAUAAAAGAGGUAAUGGGAAACUGUUACUAAUUGAAAGUCUGGUUAAUAGCGGUCUUAACUAUGAGGAUCCUAAGGUAGCAAAAUCAGUUGGCCAUUAAAUGUGGUCUGGUAUCAAUAGUGUAACGAUGGUCUCACUGUCUCUACAACUUGCUCAGUGAAAUUGAAUUAUCCGUGCAGAUGCGGAUUGCCUCCAGGUGGACGGGAAGACCCUAUGCAGCUUCUACUGA
RNAcentral lists this ribosomal RNA (343 nucleotides) under uncultured Thelephoraceae. RNAcentral's name for it is "LSU rRNA". It matches the Rfam family "Bacterial large subunit ribosomal RNA", at positions 1761 to 2107 of the family's 2925-position model. The record is from RNAcentral. Lineage: Eukaryota; Fungi; Basidiomycota; Agaricomycetes; Thelephorales; Thelephoraceae.